GACGAACGCUGGCGGCGUGCUUAACACAUGCAAGUCGAACGGUAAGGCCCUUUCGGGGGUACACGAGUGGCGAACGGGUGAGUAACACGUGGGUGAUCUGCCCUGCACUUUGGGAUAAGCCUGGGAAACUGGGUCUAAUACCGGAUAGGACUACGCGAUGCAUGUCGUGUGGUGGAAAGCUUUUGCGGUGUGGGAUGGGCCCGCGGCCUAUCAGCUUGUUGGUGGGGUGAUGGCCUACCAAGGCGACGACGGGUAGCCGGCCUGAGAGGGUGUCCGGCCACACUGGGACUGAGAUACGGCCCAGACUCCUACGGGAGGCAGCAGUGGGGAAUAUUGCACAAUGGGCGCAAGCCUGAUGCAGCGACGCCGCGUGGGGGAUGACGGCCUUCGGGUUGUAAACCCCUUUCAGCACAGACGAAGCGUAAGUGACGGUAUGUGCAGAAGAGGCACCGGCCAACUACGUG
Molecule: ribosomal RNA, 464 nt
Filed under: uncultured bacterium
Lineage: Bacteria
Description: partial 16S ribosomal RNA
Rfam family: Bacterial small subunit ribosomal RNA
Source: RNAcentral